AACGAACGCUGGCGGCGUGGAUAAGGCAUGCAAGUCGAACGGGCGACCCGCUUUCGGGUGGGAAGCUAGUGGCGAACGGGUGAGUAACACGUGGGUAAUUUGCCUUUGGAUGGGGGAUAACAUCGGGAAACCGGUGCUAAUACCGCGUAACAUUCAGGAUUCGCAUGUUUCCUGGAUCAAAGGUGGGGAUCCUUCGGGACCUACCGUCUGAAGAGAAGCCCGCGGUCGAUUAGCUUGUUGGUGAGGUAAAGGCUCACCAAGGCGACGAUCGAUAGCCGACCUGAGAGGGUGACCGGCCACACUGGGACUGAGAUACGGCCCAGACUCCUACGGGAGGCAG
This 340-nucleotide ribosomal RNA is filed under the name uncultured bacterium. RNAcentral describes it as "bacterial SSU rRNA". It matches the Rfam family "Bacterial small subunit ribosomal RNA", at positions 29 to 351 of the family's 1533-position model. The record is from RNAcentral.